CCCCUCUCAGGAUCUCACCUAGAGAGUUUCCAGUACUCAUCCAGUCUCGGUUACGGGAGGGAGAGUUAAGAAGAGGUCGACCCAUUCCAUUCCUAGCUUGGCCAGUGGCUAGCGAGUGGAAAGCAAUCUGCUACAGAU
Molecule: small nucleolar RNA, 138 nt
Organism: Tachyglossus aculeatus (Australian echidna)
Lineage: Eukaryota; Metazoa; Chordata; Mammalia; Monotremata; Tachyglossidae
Source: RefSeq, a predicted model, not a curated record